RNAcentral lists this ribosomal RNA (208 nucleotides) under uncultured bacterium. RNAcentral's name for it is "partial 16S ribosomal RNA". It matches the Rfam family "Bacterial small subunit ribosomal RNA", at positions 1293 to 1500 of the family's 1533-position model. The record is from RNAcentral.
UCAGAUUGCAGGCUGCAACUCGCCUGCAUGAAGUCGGAAUUGCUAGUAAUCGCAGAUCAGCAUGCUGCGGUGAAUACGUUCCCGGGCCUUGUACACACCGCCCGUCACACCAUGGGAGUCGGUAACACCCGAAGUCGGUAGCCUAACCGUAAGGAGGGCGCCGCCGAAGGUGGGAUUGAUGACUGGGGUGAAGUCGUAACAAGGUAUC